This 1321-nucleotide long non-coding RNA is filed under the name Bos indicus x Bos taurus (hybrid cattle). RNAcentral describes it as "lncRNA (ENSBIXG00005020744.1)". The record is from RNAcentral. Lineage: Eukaryota; Metazoa; Chordata; Mammalia; Artiodactyla; Bovidae.
AUGCCAGCUACCUUCACUCAGGAAAGAAACAGUCAGCUUCCGAGCCUCUGCCUCCCCAGACCCAGGCAUUUCAAGUGGGGCAGGCCUCGUGAGAAACAGACAGACGGAAGCUUUCCGUGCGGAAAGCGAGCAGGGUUGGGGUCAACCGGGCAGCCUGUCCCGGGCCUUUGGGCACGAGGCCCCACCUGGAGUCUGGGCCCAGAAGUCCCAUGGGCUGGGGAAGCCCGGUGCUGCCAGCCCCCGUGGUCCUCGGCGGAGGGUCUCGCCCCUCCUGCUCUCGUCUUCCCUGUGGGAGCCAGCUCUAGGGUUUCUCCGCCUCACCCACCAAGUGCAGGGAUCCUGGGGCCUGUUCCCAAAGGGCGUGCUGGGGCCCGCCCAGGUCUGGGCUCCCGGAGAACUGAUGCUCCAGAAAGUAUUGCAUUUUAUCCUGAUGUUGCUUCAAGAGACUGCGAGGCUGUUGUCAAAUACGAACUUCCUAACUUAAUUCUCCUCUGCCAUGCCCACCAGGUGUCACAGUCCAGGGGCCCACACGGCCUGUGUGUUUCUGGAAGAAAGCGGCCCUCCUCUGGAUGGCGUGUGGGUCACCAGCUGACGCUGCCUGGGUCCCACGGGGAGCUCAGGAUGCUCUGCUCGCUCAGUCAGGACUCCAGGAGUUGCAGAGGCUCAAAGAAGAGACCAAAGCCUCUGCUCCCAUCAGAGGCAGACCCUGGAGUUGCCAGAUUUACAACAAAUUUUUUCAGUAGAAACCUCAGGCUUGUCAGAGGAUAACCCAGAAAACCAGCAUUAACUCCAAAAUCUGUAAGGGCAGGAAGAGUGGAAGAAGCAACCGAGGACCCCAGGUCUGCAGGGAAACAGAACAGGGGAACGUCAGUGAUGCUGAACUCCCUGCAGUGAGACGGAUUCCACACGGCUGGGCACCCGUCACUUUCAGCAUCAAAACUGUGAUGCAUUUCGGUAGGAAUCUUUCUUUUCAAAGGGAAUACCCACUUCUCCCGCCUCUUAAGGGAAGAAGACUAACCAGGAUCCUUCCCUCCAAGGACUCAAGGUUGCCAGCAUGAAGACAGGCCCUUCCUUGGACUGAGACCCAGCAAGUUCUCAGGGUUCGGUAGAUGGGGAUUUGCCCAAGACCUCAGGACAUGCUGGGCACUGGGAGGCCUGGCUGGGAGCUUCCUGAAUCCUUCUCUGUGAAUCAGUAUCCCAAACUAGAAAUGUGUGUUGAAGAUGGGUAAUGAAUAUGUGGGGGGUUUGUGAUAUUCUCUACUUUUAUACAUUUGGAGUUUUUCAUAAUAAAAAAUGUAAUUGUUUUCCUAUUUUGUAUGCU